Molecule: long non-coding RNA, 1090 nt
Organism: Pipra filicauda (Wire-tailed manakin)
Lineage: Eukaryota; Metazoa; Chordata; Aves; Passeriformes; Pipridae
Exons: 2
Source: RefSeq, a predicted model, not a curated record
GUAAUUGCGAAAGGAACUCUCCACCCACUGUUACAGCUACAGCAGGUCACGAGAAAGGACUGAGGUUGGCCCUUGGAACCAUGGUGUGGGGUUCUGUCUGAGAAGACCAAUGGAAAAGCUCUCUGGAAAACUAAACAUUACUUUGAGAAGCCAGACUGAAGAUUCUAUCAGCAGAACAGUGCUCAGUUCAAAAGCAAAAGAUGAAGAAAGAUUUACUCUCAGAGAAAGGACUGAGCCAAUUUUGGCUGUGAGAUACACUUUUCCUUUUAAGGUGGCUUUCACAAGAUAUUUUCAUGGCUGACACGGGGGAGUGCUUAAGUUUUCACAGACUCUUGUCAGCACGGCAGAGCUGAGUGUCCAACAGAAGUCCCAGGGCCACCUCAUCAAGGGAUCUUCAACACACCUCAGGCUCAUCCCGCUUCCAAACUUGGAUCUGGUGGCAUUGUCCAGGACAUGAUCUUCCCAGACCUCUCCAGGCACAGCCAGACCUCUUCCACAGCCUAAGAGAUUGCUCUGAGCUAUAUAGAGAGACAUUGAUCCAGGAGGCUUUCACUGUGCAUGUUCCAAACAAGUUCCACCUGCUCAAAUGGACCAAAAGCAGAUGAUAUGGCAGAGAAACUGGAAGACAACUAGAGGACUAAAGUGAGAACUGCAUCCAGAAGAACUAUGAGGAUCAACCUAAUAAAGUCCACUGACAACACACUGGGUCUAUCAGAAGUUCUUGGCCUAUAAAUGUAAGAGAAAAAAGAACAGAAAAGCAACUGGACAGUGCCAGAGCUGCUACCAGCAGCUGCCAUGGUAAAGGACAAAGCCCCAUGACCCUGCAGGAAUUUUGUCCACUGAAACUUUUUUCAAUAUUUUGGUUAUGCCUUCAACCACUAGAAAGGAUGGGGUACUCCGACUCCUCUUCCAGUGACUACUCAGAGACUCCAUGUAUAGUCUCUAAAACAGGGCAUGUGACUGCUGUUAUUUUUCCCUCAGUGAUGUACUACCUCUGCAAGUGUAAUCAUUCCUUGUUCUUAAUGUUCUCAUAUUAGAUCAAUUCACCUACAUUUGCUGUUUAUGAAAAAAUAAAUGUGUUUCAGGUGUA